This 484-nucleotide ribosomal RNA is filed under the name uncultured bacterium. RNAcentral's name for it is "partial 16S ribosomal RNA". It matches the Rfam family "Bacterial small subunit ribosomal RNA", at positions 28 to 523 of the family's 1533-position model. The record is from RNAcentral.
GACGAACGCUGGCGGCGUGCUUAACACAUGCAAGUCGAACGAUGAACCCGGAGCUUGCUCCGGUGGAUUAGUGGCGAACGGGUGAGUAACACGUGAGUAACCUGCCCUUGACUCUGGGAUAACUGCGGGAAACUGUAGCUAAUACCGGAUACGACCCUCGGCGGCAUCGCCAGGGGGUGGAAAGAAUUUCGGUCAAGGAUGGACUCGCGGCCUAUCAGCUAGUUGGUGAGGUAACGGCUCACCAAGGCGACGACGGGUAGCCGGCCUGAGAGGGUGACGGGCAACACGGGGACUGAAACAGGGCCCAGACUCCUACGGGAGGCAGCAGUGGGGAAUAUUGCACAGUGGGCGCAAGCCUGAGGCAGCAACGCCGCGUGGGGAAUGACGGCCUUCGGGUUGUAAACCUCUUUUAGUAGGAAAGAAGCGAAAGUGACGGUACCUGCAGAAAAAGCACCGGCUAACUACGUGCCAGCAGCCGCCGUAA